RNAcentral lists this ribosomal RNA (98 nucleotides) under Pseudomonas fluorescens. The record is from RNAcentral. Lineage: Bacteria; Pseudomonadati; Pseudomonadota; Gammaproteobacteria; Pseudomonadales; Pseudomonadaceae.
UGGAACCACCUGAUCCCAUCCCGAACUCAGCAGUGAAACGAUGCAUCGCCGAUGGUAGUGUGGGGUUUCCCCAUGUGAGAGUAGGUCAUCGUCAAGAU